RNAcentral lists this ribosomal RNA (751 nucleotides) under uncultured bacterium. Its description in RNAcentral is "bacterial SSU rRNA". It matches the Rfam family "Bacterial small subunit ribosomal RNA", at positions 33 to 775 of the family's 1533-position model. The record is from RNAcentral.
ACGCUGGCGGCAGGCCUAACACAUGCAAGUCGAGCGGUAGCACAGAGAGCUUGCUCUCGGGUGACGAGCGGCGGACGGGUGAGUAAUGUCUGGGAAACUGCCUGAUGGAGGGGGAUAACUACUGGAAACGGUAGCUAAUACCGCAUAACGUCUUCGGACCAAAGUGGGGGACCUUCGGGCCUCAUGCCAUCAGAUGUGCCCAGAUGGGAUUAGCUAGCAGGUGAGGUAAUGGCUCACCUGGGCGACGAUCCCUAGCUGGUCUGAGAGGAUGACCAGCCACACUGGAACUGAGACACGGUCCAGACUCCUACGGGAGGCAGCAGUGGGGAAUAUUGCACAAUGGGCGCAAGCCUGAUGCAGCCAUGCCGCGUGUAUGAAGAAGGCCUUCGGGUUGUAAAGUACUUUCAGCGGGGAGGAAGGCAAUAAGGUUAAUAACCUUGUUGAUUGACGUUACCCGCAGAAGAAGCACCGGCUAACUCCGUGCCAGCAGCCGCGGUAAUACGGAGGGUGCAAGCGUUAAUCGGAAUUACUGGGCGUAAAGCGCACGCAGGCGGUCUGUCAAGUCGGAUGUGAAAUCCCCGGGCUCAACCUGGGAACUGCAUUCGAAACUGGCAGGCUAGAGUCUUGUAGAGGGGGGUAGAAUUCCAGGUGUAGCGGUGAAAUGCGUAGAGAUCUGGAGGAAUACCGGUGGCGAAGGCGGCCCCCUGGACAAAGACUGACGCUCAGGUGCGAAAGCGUGGGGAGCAAACAG